Boleophthalmus pectinirostris (great blue-spotted mudskipper) is the source of this 578-nucleotide long non-coding RNA. RefSeq lists it as uncharacterized. The transcript is spliced from 4 exons. The record is from RefSeq and is a predicted model, not a curated record. Lineage: Eukaryota; Metazoa; Chordata; Actinopteri; Gobiiformes; Gobiidae.
AAUUCCAACCACAGAAGUCCAGUUUGAACCAGUUUGAACCAGUUUGAACCAGUUUGAACCAGACAUACACAGUGGAUUUUUCACUUUUACAUGCAGCUCUUUUUGAUAAUAGAAGCAGCUUUAAAAGAAAAAGCUGGUGGUGAAGAAAUGCUAAAGGAACAACAAACAACAGAAACCCUAAGUCACACUACAAGAAGGAAGUUGGUUAAUAAACUGGUUUCUCACAUGAUUCAGCACCAUGAUAACUUCCCCUCUAAGUCACCGGGAACAGUCUGCCCCUGGGAUUGUGAUGGUGUUUCCUUCUCUCAAAGAUCCAUAUGCCAAGAAAGGCGAUGAGCACCUCUAUGAUGCUGUGGGUGGAUCAGGUACAUCUCAAGACUGAAGACGGUCCAAAGGCAAGUGACUUCACAGCCACCGGACAGACAUGUUGACUGAAGUCAAGGAGCCCAACACAUCAGAGGACUGUUCAGGUCCAACAGCAGCUGGACGCUGAUGCCAAGAGUCUUCACAUAAUGAUUUAUACAUCAUUUCAUCUUUUACAGUGUUUUAAAGAAAAUAAAGGCUUUACAUGGACUGAA